This 912-nucleotide small RNA is filed under the name Mesomycoplasma molare. Its description in RNAcentral is "bacterial LSU rRNA". The stretch from base 416 to 912 matches the Rfam family "Bacterial large subunit ribosomal RNA", at positions 1 to 497 of the family's 2925-position model. Lineage: Bacteria; Bacillati; Mycoplasmatota; Mycoplasmoidales; Metamycoplasmataceae. The record is from RNAcentral.
CGCCCGUCACACCAUGGGAGUUGGUAAUGCCCGAAGCCGGUUAGUUAACUUCGGAGACGACUGUCUAAGGCAGGACCGAUGACUGGGGUGAAGUCGUAACAAGGUAUCCCUACGAGAACGUGGGGAUGGAUCACCUCCUUUCUACGGAGUACAUAGACAUCUUUUUAUAAUUUGGCAUUUUAUAAUUUUUUAAUAAUUCAUAUUAUGGGCUUAGCCAAAGAGUUUUGCACUUAGUUUUGAAAGAUUUAACUUUCAAAAUAGUUCUUUGAAAACUGAAUAGCAAAUAUUUUUUAAAUAUUUCAACAACGACAUUACAAUACAAAAACCGAGUCUAACUGUAAAAAGUUAGAAUUAAAUUAGAUACCUUAGAAAUACAAAUCAAAAACAAUAGGCUUAAUAAAUAAGUUAUAUUAGCUUUUAAAUAAGUAAGAGUAUAUGGUGGAUGCCUUGGGUCUGGAAGUCGAUGAAGGACGUGAAUACCUGCGACAAGCCUCGUGGAGCUGGAUUGAGCUAUGAUACGGGGAUUUCCGAAUGGGGGAACCUAGCUGAAUAAACUUCAGUUGCUUUAUAAUGAAUACAUAGUUAUAAAGGCGAGACACGUUGUGAAUUGAAACAUCUUAGUAGCAACAGGAAAAGAAAAUAAAUAAUGAUUUCGUUAGUAGUGGCGAGCGAAAGCGAAAGAGCCCAAACCAUCAUUUUGAUGGGGUUGUAGGACAUUCUAUAUAGAGUUACAAAAAUUUAUUAUAGUUGAAAAAGUUGGGAAGCUUUGACAUAGAGGGUGAUAUCCCCGUAAACGAAAUAAUAAAUUCUCUUGAAUGUAUCCUGAGUAGGGCGGGGCACGUGAAACCCUGUCUGAAUCUGCCAGGACCACCCGGUAAGGCUAAAUACUAACCAGACACCGAUAAUGAAACA